This 73-nucleotide transfer RNA is filed under the name Cerataphis brasiliensis yeast-like symbiont. RNAcentral's name for it is "tRNA-Lys (CTT) (tRNA-Lys-CTT-1-1)". It matches the Rfam family "tRNA". Rfam says of the family: Transfer RNA (tRNA) molecules are approximately 80 nucleotides in length. The record is from RNAcentral. Lineage: Eukaryota; Fungi; Ascomycota.
GCCCGGUUAGCUCAAUCGGUAGAGCGUGAGACUCUUAAUCUCAAGGUUGCGGGUUCGACCCCCGUAUCGGGCU